Molecule: transfer RNA, 73 nt
Filed under: Flavobacterium ginsengisoli
Lineage: Bacteria; Pseudomonadati; Bacteroidota; Flavobacteriia; Flavobacteriales; Flavobacteriaceae
Also listed under: 2 other names
Description: tRNA-Pro
Rfam family: tRNA
About the family: Transfer RNA (tRNA) molecules are approximately 80 nucleotides in length. Their secondary structure includes four short double-helical elements and three loops (D, anti-codon, and T loops).
Source: RNAcentral
CUGGGAAGAUAACGGAGGUUGUUUACCCGCUUUGGAUGCGGGAGGUCGCAGGUUCGAAUCCUGCUUCCCAGAC